AAGUAGGUUGAUAUCCAGAAGAAGUCUCAUGCUGUGAGACUGAUGAAACACCAUCAACUGCUGCAGGUGCUGACUUUUUACUUUCAUUUGCAGCAAUAUCACUGAUUGUUGUGGCCCUCCUGCUUAUUCCGGAAACUCCUAGAGUAGAAGUCAGGUUACUCGUCUUUGAUCCAUUAUCUUUUCUGUAUCCAGGAAUAAGCUUGGUAGACUCGGCUGACCCACCGCGCCCAACAUAUCGUUCUGCACCUCCCCUGCUACCACGGCCUGAGUUGCUAAUUGCACCACGUGGCCUAGAUUCAGUCGUAUCCUUACUCUCUUUUCUCUUUUCACGUUUGCUCUUCACCUCAUGAAAAGUAUCUUGAGUAAGAAGCCUAUUGACAGCUUCAUUGGGGUCCAUAUUACAUUCUUUGAGCAUAGCAUAGAUCUCAGGUUCAGGACAGUUAACUAUCUCCUUUAAGCUUUGUACCAUCUUUCUUGACCCUGCGGGUAUCGAUUGUACCCCAACUCCACCAUUGUUUCUGCUACUCAUCUUUGAAGAAGACAACUCUUCUUCUCUAAAAAAAAAGAGAGGAAAAAAACAAGAAAGACCCACAAAAUAUUUUCUUGUUUCAGAUCUGUUAUAGUUUAGGGUUUUUUGGGUCUCCUCAACUCUGUAUAUUUAUCUCAGUUUUAUUAUGAAAAAUAACGCACAGAAUGAAGGGGUUUUU
RNAcentral lists this unclassified non-coding RNA (707 nucleotides) under Hevea brasiliensis (rubber tree). The record is from RNAcentral. Lineage: Eukaryota; Viridiplantae; Streptophyta; Magnoliopsida; Malpighiales; Euphorbiaceae.